Molecule: long non-coding RNA, 240 nt
Organism: Cotesia glomerata
Lineage: Eukaryota; Metazoa; Arthropoda; Insecta; Hymenoptera; Braconidae
Exons: 2
Source: RefSeq, a predicted model, not a curated record
CGAUAACUAUACUUAUACUAAUUAAAAAUCUGUCCAUUUUUUUGGAGAGGGGAACUUCAGCGCCAUUUGUCUAAUUUAAAAAAAAUUUUUUUUUUGUUUUGAUUUUCAUUUUCGUGUAGUUGAUAAGUAAUAGAAUAAGUGUAAUAAAAAUUUGAAAGCAUUCGUCAUUAACUUCAUAUAGAAAUAAAAUUUUUAAAAUAGCUUAAAUUUUAGGCCGCUAGACCACCGGGUCCCCUUAAU